GAGGGUAGCGCUCAGGGCUAGAGCGUGUGCUUAGCAGGCACGAGGUCCUGGGUUCAAUCCCUAGUACCUCCG
Transfer RNA from Camelus ferus (Wild Bactrian camel), 72 nucleotides. It matches the Rfam family "tRNA". From Rfam's summary of the family: Transfer RNA (tRNA) molecules are approximately 80 nucleotides in length. Their secondary structure includes four short double-helical elements and three loops (D, anti-codon, and T loops). The record is from Rfam. Lineage: Eukaryota; Metazoa; Chordata; Mammalia; Artiodactyla; Camelidae.